CCUACGGGUGGCAGCAGUGAGGAAUAUUGGUCAAUGGGCGCAAGCCUGAACCAGCCAAGUAGCGUGAAGGAUGACGGCUCUACGUGUUGUAAACUUCUUUUGUAAAGGAGUAAAUGGAGGCACGUGUACCUGUUUGUAUGUACUGUAUGAAUAAGGAUCGGCUAACUCCGUGCCAGCAGCCGCGGUAAUACGGAGGAUCCGAGCGUUAUCCGGAUUUAUUGGGUGUAAAGGGUGCGUAGAUGGGUUGUUAAGUCAGAUGUGAAAGCUUGUGGCUCAACCGUAAAAUUGCAUUGGAUACUGGGAGGCUGGAGAACAGUUGAGGUAGGCGGAAUUCGUGGUGUAGCGGUGAAAUGCGUAGAGAUCAUGAAGAACACCGAUUGCGAAGGCAGCUUACUAAACUGCCACUGACGUUGAGGCUCGAAAGCGUGGGGAGCAAACAGGAUUAGAUACCCGAGUAGUC
This 460-nucleotide ribosomal RNA is filed under the name uncultured bacterium. RNAcentral's name for it is "partial 16S ribosomal RNA". It matches the Rfam family "Bacterial small subunit ribosomal RNA", at positions 338 to 795 of the family's 1533-position model. The record is from RNAcentral.